RNAcentral lists this ribosomal RNA (408 nucleotides) under uncultured bacterium. RNAcentral's name for it is "partial 16S ribosomal RNA". It matches the Rfam family "Bacterial small subunit ribosomal RNA", at positions 28 to 526 of the family's 1533-position model. The record is from RNAcentral.
GACGAACGCUGGCGGCGUGCUUAACACAUGCAAGUCGAACGAAGUGGCGAACGGGUGAGUAACGCGUAAUCAACCUGCCCUUCAGAGGGGGACAACAGUUGGAACAGACUGCUAAUACCGCAUACUGAAGGAGGGGAUUGCGUCUGAUUAGAGAGUUGGAGGGGUAACGGCCCCACAUGGCGAUGAUCAGUAGCCGGUCUGAGAGGAUGAACGGCCACAAUGGGAAUGGGACAAGGCCCAGACUCCUGCGGGAGGUAGCAGUGGGGAAUCUUCCGCAAUUGACGAAAGUCUGACGGAGCAACGCCGCGUGAUUGAUGACGGCCUUCGGGUUGGAAAGCUCUGUUAAUCGGGACGCGGUACCGGAAUAGAAAGCCACGGCUAACUACGUGCCAGCCGCCGCGGUAAUAC